GAAGAGGUUUGGAGAAGUUUGUCGCUUUGAAAAACCUCUUUGGGGUUUUUGGAGAGGAAAGUCCGGGCAACAUAGAGUACCAUGCUUCCUAACGGGAAGGUGCUAAUUCUUUUAGCAGAGCAACGCAACAGAAAAUAACCUCCCUGUCUAUUUCUUAUAAAUGGGUUUAUACAGAAUAAGCGAAUGGGCAGAGAAAGGGUGAAAAGGUGGGGUAAGAGCCUACCACUGAAAUGGCGACAUUUUGGGAUUGUGUGCCUCAUGGGUUGAAAGACCAAGUAUAUCGACCAAUAGAAGGGCUACUCGUCCGUAUAGGGUCGAAGGGUGGGUCGAGAAGAAUUUUGUGGCGACAUAAAAUCAAGAUAAAUGGCAAACGAUUGUUCCUUUGUGGAGCACUAACAGAACCCGGCUUACAGAGAACUUCUUCUCUC
Molecule: RNase P RNA, 428 nt
Filed under: Porphyromonadaceae bacterium
Lineage: Bacteria; Pseudomonadati; Bacteroidota; Bacteroidia; Bacteroidales; Porphyromonadaceae
Description: RNase P RNA component class A
Rfam family: Bacterial RNase P class A
About the family: Ribonuclease P (RNase P) is a ubiquitous endoribonuclease, found in archaea, bacteria and eukarya as well as chloroplasts and mitochondria. Its best characterised activity is the generation of mature 5'-ends of tRNAs by cleaving the 5'-leader elements of precursor-tRNAs. Cellular RNase Ps are ribonucleoproteins.
Source: RNAcentral